GAGGGUUUAGCUUAUUGGUAGAGCACAUGCUUAGCAUGUACAAGGUCUUGGGUUCAAUCCCUAGUACCUCCA
This 72-nucleotide transfer RNA is filed under the name Camelus bactrianus (Bactrian camel). It matches the Rfam family "tRNA". From Rfam's summary of the family: Transfer RNA (tRNA) molecules are approximately 80 nucleotides in length. Their secondary structure includes four short double-helical elements and three loops (D, anti-codon, and T loops). Lineage: Eukaryota; Metazoa; Chordata; Mammalia; Artiodactyla; Camelidae. RNAcentral also lists the same sequence under 3 other names. The record is from Rfam by way of RNAcentral.